Molecule: small nucleolar RNA, 151 nt
Organism: Cannabis sativa
Lineage: Eukaryota; Viridiplantae; Streptophyta; Magnoliopsida; Rosales; Cannabaceae
Product: small nucleolar RNA snoR2/U65
Exons: 1
Source: RefSeq, a predicted model, not a curated record
GGAUCGAUGCCACGUCUACGGUAGCUCUCUAAGAGCUUUGACCGGCGAUGCUAUGAUUGGUCCAAUAAUAAUUCUCUGUUUCGCAUUUUGAUAGGAAUCUGUAGACCUUAUUUUUGAUUGGUCUAUUGAGCCGUUUUGUGCGAUUACAUUU